ACGUAGGGGGCAAGCGUUGUCCGGAAUCAUUGGGCGUAAAGAGCGCGUAGGCGGUCCGGUAAGUCCGCUGUGAAAGUCAAGGGCUCAACCCUUGAAUGCCGGUGGAUACUGUCGGGCUAGAGUCCGGAAGAGGCGAGUGGAAUUCCUGGUGUAGCGGUGAAAUGCGCAGAUAUCAGGAGGAACACCAAUGGCGAAGGCAGUGUCCUGGGGAGUACCUGACGCUCAGGUGCGAAAGCCAGGGGAGCGAACGGGA
Molecule: ribosomal RNA, 253 nt
Filed under: uncultured prokaryote
Description: partial 16S ribosomal RNA
Rfam family: Bacterial small subunit ribosomal RNA
Source: RNAcentral